CCUGGAAGGGAUUCCAAGCUCCCCUGUCUGGAGUGGUGUGAUGAACUCUCCCUUAGCCUACUGAGUACAUAUGAGUGAAGACAGAGGAGGCGCCGUCUCCGUCUGCUCGCCGCGAGACGAGGAGAAACCCAACAAGAGGAGCCGAGAGAGGAAACACAAGAACAAGAAGCAGCACAAACACAAGAAGGACAAGAAGAAGAAGAAGAAGAAGAAGAAGCACAAGAACAAAGGAAAGCAGCAGAAGAAGAGUAAGAAGGAGACGGACAGCAGCGGCGAGGACAGCGGCGAGGACGCUGCACAGGUGUCGACUCAGGAGCUGCUCAAAAGACUGAAAAAUGUCCGGUCUCUUGAGUCCUGGUGAAGACAGUGAGCCGUGUCCUCUGUGAGGACGACCGUCAGCAGAUACC
RNAcentral lists this long non-coding RNA (407 nucleotides) under Sander lucioperca (pikeperch). Its description in RNAcentral is "lncRNA (ENSSLUG00000011991.1)". The record is from RNAcentral. Lineage: Eukaryota; Metazoa; Chordata; Actinopteri; Perciformes; Percidae.